CAAUCAGCUCAGUUGGUAGAGCAUGGGACUAUUAAUCCCAGGGUGGUAGGUUCUAGCCCCAUAUUG
RNAcentral lists this transfer RNA (66 nucleotides) under Cricetulus griseus (Chinese hamster). It matches the Rfam family "tRNA". From Rfam's summary of the family: Transfer RNA (tRNA) molecules are approximately 80 nucleotides in length. Their secondary structure includes four short double-helical elements and three loops (D, anti-codon, and T loops). Further hydrogen bonds mediate the characteristic L-shaped molecular structure. tRNAs have two regions of fundamental functional importance: the anti-codon, which is responsible for specific mRNA codon recognition, and the 3' end, to which the tRNAs corresponding amino acid is attached (by aminoacyl-tRNA synthetases). tRNAs cope with the degeneracy of the genetic code in two manners: having more than one tRNA (with a specific anti-codon) for a particular amino acid; and 'wobble' base-pairing, i.e. permitting non-standard base-pairing at the 3rd anti-codon position. Lineage: Eukaryota; Metazoa; Chordata; Mammalia; Rodentia; Cricetidae. The record is from Rfam by way of RNAcentral.